GAUGAAGAACGCAGCGAAAUGCGAUAAGUAGUGUGAAUUGCAGAAUUCAGUGAAUCAUCGAAUCUUUGAACGCACAUUGCGCCCCUUGGUAUUCCAUGGGGCAUGCCUGUUCGAGCGUCAUUUGUACCUUCAAGCUUUGCUUGGUGUUGGGUGUUUGUCUCGCCUUUGCGUGUAGACUCGCCUUAAAAUAAUUGGCAGCCGGCGUAUUGAUUUCGGAGCGCAGUACAUCUCGCGCUUUGCACUCAUAACGAAAGCGUCCAAAAGUACAUUUUACACUCUUGACCUCGGAUCAGGUAGGGAUACCCGCUGAACUUAAGCAUAUCAAUAAGCGGAGGA
RNAcentral lists this unclassified non-coding RNA (336 nucleotides) under soil metagenome. RNAcentral describes it as "partial contains 5.8S ribosomal RNA, internal transcribed spacer 2, and large subunit ribosomal RNA". The stretch from base 1 to 120 matches the Rfam family "5.8S ribosomal RNA", at positions 35 to 154 of the family's 154-position model. The record is from RNAcentral.